CCUACGGGUGGCAGCAGUGGGGAAUAUUGGGCAAUGGGCGCAAGCCUGAUCCAGCAACGCCGCGUGAAUGAAGAAGGCUCUCGGGUUGUAAACUUCUGUUAUCAGGGACGAAACAACUUACGGUACCUGAUGAAUAAGCCACGGCUAUCUACGUGCCAGCAGCCGCGGUAAUACGUAGGUGGCAAGCGUUAUCCGGAUUUACUGGGAGUAUAGGCCGGGUAGGUGGGAAAGCAAGUCAGAUGUGAAAACCAUGGGCUCAACCUGUGGACUGCAUUUGAAACUGUUUUUCUUGAGUACUGGAGAGGCAGACGGAAUUCCUAGUGUAGCGGUGAAAUGCGUAGAUAGUAGGAGGAACACCAGUGGCGAAGGCGGUCGGCUGGACAGUAACUGACGCUGAGGUGCGAAAGCGUGGGGAGCAAACAGGAUUAGAUACCCCUGUAGUC
Molecule: ribosomal RNA, 443 nt
Filed under: uncultured bacterium
Lineage: Bacteria
Description: partial 16S ribosomal RNA
Rfam family: Bacterial small subunit ribosomal RNA
Source: RNAcentral